AUGCGGCACCUCCUCCUCUCCCGUCUCCUCCGCCGCGCCUCCUCCCCCUCCCAGCCUCACCACAACCUCCAACUCAUCCGUGCUCUCUCCUCCUCCUCCCCUCUCCCGGCCUCCGACACCGACCUCCGCAAGUACGCCGGCUACGCGCUCCUCGUCCUCGGCUGCGGCGCCGCCACCUACUACUCCUUCCCCUUCCCACCCGACGCGCUCCACAAGAAGGCCGUCCCCUUCAAGUACGCGCCCCUCCCCGACGACCUCCACACCGUCUCCAACUGGAGCGGCACUCACGAGGUCCACACCCGCGUCCUCCUCCAGCCCGACUCCAUCCCGGCGCUCGAGGAUGCCCUCGCCACAGCCCACAGGGAGCGACGCAGGCUCAGGCCCCUCGGCUCCGGGCUGUCCCCCAAUGGCCUCGGGCUCUCCCGGGCCGGCAUGGUCAACCUUGCGCUCAUGGACAAGGUGCUAGACGUCGAUGUCAAGAAGAAGACCGUCACGGUGCAGGCUGGGAUACGUGUCGCCGAGCUCGUCGAUGCGCUCAGCAAGCAUGGGCUCACACUGCAGAACUUUGCCUCCAUUCGAGAGCAGCAGGUCGGCGGCAUCAUUCAGGUUGGUGCCCAUGGUACUGGUGCGAGAUUGCCUCCAAUUGAUGAGCAGGUUAUUAGCAUGAAACUGGUUACUCCUGCCAAAGGGACGAUAGAGUUAUCAAGGGAGAAAAAUCCUGAUUUAUUUUAUCUUGCCCGCUGUGGACUUGGUGGCCUAGGAGUCGUUGCAGAAGUUACUCUUCAGUGUGUAGAAAGACACCAACUUGUUGAGCAUACUUUUGUUUCUAAUGCAGAUGAAAUCAAGAAAAACCACCAGAAUUGGCUUUCUGAAAACAAACAUAUCAAAUACUUGUGGAUUCCAUAUACUGAUACAGUUGUCGUUGUCCAAUGUAAUCCUCCUUCAAGAUGGAAAACUCCAAAGUUGGCAUCAAAAUAUGUAAAGGAUGAAGCCCUACAGCAUGUUCGUGACCUUUACCGAGAGUCAUUGAAGAAAUAUAGCUUGAGACUUUGUUGUGGCUCGUACAGAAAGGCAUGGGGGGCCGUGAUGUUUGUAGGAAGAGUCGCAUAUGCCAUAAGUUAUACAAGAAGUGUCAGAACUGAAGCCGACAGUAAAGACCCAGCGAUAGAUCAACUUUCAUUUACUGAAUUGAGGGAUCAAUUGCUCGCCCUUGAUCCUCUGGAUAAAGAUCAUGUGAUCAGAAUUAAUAAAGCAGAAGCUGAGUAUUGGAAGAAGUCUGAGGGAUAUCGCAUGUGCUGGAGUGAUGAAAUACUAGGUUUUGAUUGUGGUGGGCAGCAGUGGGUUUCUGAAACCUGCUUCCCUACAGGAACUCUAGCGAAGCCAAACAUGAAGGAUUUAUAUUAUAUGGAGGAGUUGCUACAGUUGAUUGAGGAGGAGGAUAUACCUGCACCUGCACCUAUUGAGCAGCGUUGGACUGCCCACAGCAGGAGCCCCAUGAGUCCGGCAUCAAGCUCUGAAGAAGAUGACAUAUUUUCAUGGGUUGGUAUAAUAAUGUAUUUACCAACAUCGGAUCCUCGCCAAAGGAAGGAUAUUACCGAGGAGUUCUUCAACUACAGAAGUCUGACGCAAACUAGUCUCUGGGAUGAUUAUUCUGCAUAUGAACACUGGGCUAAAAUUGAGGUUCCGAAGGACAAGGAUGAACUUGCUCAACUGCAGGCUAGGUUGCGGAAACGCUUCCCCGUUGACGCAUAUAACAAGGCGCGCAUGGAGCUGGACCCUAACAAGGUUCUCUCCAGUGCCAAGUUAGAGAAGUUUUUCCCAGGAAUGCAGACUGUCCAACAUGCAAGGUAA
Molecule: ribosomal RNA, 1851 nt
Filed under: Triticum aestivum (bread wheat)
Lineage: Eukaryota; Viridiplantae; Streptophyta; Magnoliopsida; Poales; Poaceae
Description: partial small subunit ribosomal RNA
Source: RNAcentral